ACUGGGCAUGGUGGCACAUGCCUGUAAUCCCAGCAACUCUGGAGGCUAAGGCAGGAGGAUCACAAGUUCAAGGCCAGCCUGGGCAACUUAUCGAGGUCCUGAGUAACUUAGUGAGACCCCUUUU
Molecule: small RNA, 124 nt
Filed under: Marmota monax (woodchuck)
Lineage: Eukaryota; Metazoa; Chordata; Mammalia; Rodentia; Sciuridae
Source: RNAcentral